AAACCGUUUAGAAGUAAACCUGAGAAACCCAAAAGAUCGAAUGAGGAGAUUCAUCGUCAAAAUAUGUGGUAUNAAUGCUAAUAAUGAUAUGGUAAAUAAUCCUUGUGGUUACUAUACUGUACAUUUUAGUAUUAUUUUUGCCAUGUAUGUCGGCGUGCACUUCUCCUCUAGUAGAACGUCGCGACCCGUUAGAUGUUGAUCUAUGGCCUGAUUGAUUGUCUCUUUCUGCUUGCAGUUGGAGAUCAUUAGUGUUCCUGAUCAACUGUUUGACGGUACUCGCACGGUAUACAGUCGCUAUUAUUAGCGUUAGAAUCAUUACAAGUGCGGUCAAUAUUUGGCAGUUCGGAUCUGAUGCCGACGUCGAAAUUGACCAACUGUUGGUGAUGAUUUUCUUUAACUGACUUUAAUACCGGUCAGCGACGCUACUGCUUUGGGUACUUUUCAGGA
RNAcentral lists this ribosomal RNA (447 nucleotides) under Chelonus sp. 1. RNAcentral's name for it is "eukaryotic LSU rRNA". The record is from RNAcentral. Lineage: Eukaryota; Metazoa; Arthropoda; Insecta; Hymenoptera; Braconidae.